AACGCACGAGACCUGCGGACCUGCGGAAGGAUCAUUACAUGAUUUGAGGGGGCUCACGUCCCCUCAUCCAACCCACAAACCCCGAGGAACUUUUAUGUCGAGUGGUUCGGCGCUCUCUUUGAGAGCCGCCCCUCAAACGCAUCGCAGGCUUUUCGUGAAGGUCUGAUGUGCCACAUCGUGAGUAUUAAAACUUUCAACAAUGGAUCUCU
This 209-nucleotide unclassified non-coding RNA is filed under the name soil metagenome. RNAcentral describes it as "partial contains 5.8S ribosomal RNA, internal transcribed spacer 2, and large subunit ribosomal RNA". The record is from RNAcentral.